GAUCCCUGAAAGAUGAUCAGGUUGAUAGGUUCGAGGUGGAAGCGUGGUGACACGUGGAGCUGACGAAUACUAAUAGAUCGAGGACUUAACCAA
Molecule: ribosomal RNA, 93 nt
Filed under: Bacillus multifaciens
Lineage: Bacteria; Bacillati; Bacillota; Bacilli; Caryophanales; Bacillaceae
Description: partial 23S ribosomal RNA
Rfam family: Bacterial large subunit ribosomal RNA
Source: RNAcentral